GCCGAGCACAUGGGCCCGCGGGCCGGGCGGGCUCGGGGCGGCCGGGACGAGGAGGGGCGACGACGAGCUGCGAGCAAAGAUGUGCCCCGGGACCCCCGGCACCUUCCAGUGGAUUUCCUUGCGGAAAGGAUGUUGGCGGUCCCUGUGACCUGUGGAGACACGGCCAGAUCUGCCCUCCAGCCUGAUCUUUUGGCCAGAAGGAGAUUAAAAAGAUGCCCCUCAAGAUGGCUGUGCCUGUCAGCUGCAUGGAGCUUCGUUCAAGUAUUUUCUGAGCCUGAUGGAUUUACAGUGAUCUUCAGUGGUCUGGGGAAUAACGCUGGUGGAACCAUGCACUGGAAUGACACACGCCCGGCACAUUUCAGGAUACUAAAAGUGGUUUUAAGGGAGGCUGUGGCUGAAUGCCUCAUGGAUUCUUACAGCUUGGAUGUCCAUGGGGGACGAAGGACUGCAGCUGGCUGAGAGGGUUGAGAUCUCUGUUUACUUAGAUCUCUGCCAACUUCCUUUGGGUCUCCCUAUGGAAUGUAAGACCCCGACUCUUCCUGGUGAAGCAUCUGAUGCACGUUCCAUCCGGCGCUCAGCUGGGCUUGAGAAUCCUGUUACACCUGGGAUUUAGGCACUUUCAAUCUGAAAAAAUACAUAUCCUUUCAGCACUCUGGACGGACUUGAGAACUGUCCUUACGUGACCUAAAGCUGGAGUAUUUUGAGAUUGGAGAAUUAAGGCCAACAGAGAUUUUGAGAAACACAUUGAAGGAUCUGUUAACACUUGAUAUACCCAAUAAAAGCAGUGGUUGUGCCAGUGCUGAUCUGUCUUGAUGUGAAUGUGAACAAUGGGAACCUGAGCUGAGCAGUUAAUGCUAGGGUGACAGAAACUGGACCUCUCCCAAGACAUGUGACAGAGUAAUACAGCAGCCAACUUCUUCGCCAAAUUAAAGUUUUACAAGAUUUAACCUGUCAUCAAGACCUGGGAUUUUGGUGAGCCAGUCUUGGUGCUCUGUGUUCACCUGGUUCAUCUGAGGAGCUGCAUCUACCCUGCCCAUGCCAUAGAUCCUGCCCUGUUUGCUUCUCCUGUUGCUGCUAGUGGACAUGAGAAGGACAGAAUAACGGGCUCCCAGAUUCACAAGCCCCACCAAGAGGAUCACCCCAGGAACGCUUGGAGGCUGAGGAGUUCACUGAGGCUACUGCAUCUUGAGACUCAGGAUGAAGACCCAGCUUGGGGCUGUCAAAGGUUUUUUGCAUGUCUGACACCCAUGACUCCACCUGGACCUUAUGGCUCCACCCAGAAGCAAUUCAGCCCAACAGGAGGACAGCUUCAACCCAUUACGAUUUCAUCUCUG
RNAcentral lists this long non-coding RNA (1334 nucleotides) under Homo sapiens (human). RNAcentral's name for it is "non-protein coding PVT1:9". The stretch from base 2 to 179 matches the Rfam family "Pvt1 oncogene conserved region 1". The record is from RNAcentral. Lineage: Eukaryota; Metazoa; Chordata; Mammalia; Primates; Hominidae.